UUGGAGGGCAAGUCUGGUGCCAGCGGCCGCGGUAAUUCCAGCUCCAAUAGCGUAUAUUAAAGUUGUUGCAGUUGAGAAGCUCGUAGUUGAAUUUCGGGAUCAAUUUGCUGGUCGUGCCUCUGGUACGUACUGGUAUUAUUGGUUUCUCCCUUCUGACGAACCAUGAUGUCAUUAAUUUGAUGUCGUGGAGAAUCAGGACUGUUACUUUGAAAAAAUUAGAGUGUUUAAAGCAGGCAUUAGCUUGAGUACAUUAGCAUGGAAUAAUGAAAUAGGACGUUUGAUCUUAUUUUGUUGGUUUCUAGGAUUGACGUAAUGAUUAAUAGGGAUAGUUGGGGGCAUUAGUAUUCAAUUGUCAGAGGUGAAAUUCUUGGAUUUAUUGAAGACUAACUACUGCGAAAGCAUUUGCCAAGGAUGUUUUCAUUAAUCAAGAACGAAAGUUAGGGGAUCGAAGACGAUCAGAUACCGUCGUAGUCUUAACCAUAAACUAUGCCGACUAGGGAUCGGAUGAUGUUAAUUUUUUAAUGACUCAUUCGGCGCCUUACGGGAAACCAAAGUGUUUGGGUUC
RNAcentral lists this ribosomal RNA (565 nucleotides) under uncultured Glomeromycotina. RNAcentral describes it as "SSU rRNA". It matches the Rfam family "Eukaryotic small subunit ribosomal RNA", at positions 548 to 1114 of the family's 1831-position model. The record is from RNAcentral. Lineage: Eukaryota; Fungi; Glomeromycota.